This 496-nucleotide ribosomal RNA is filed under the name uncultured bacterium. RNAcentral's name for it is "partial 16S ribosomal RNA". It matches the Rfam family "Bacterial small subunit ribosomal RNA", at positions 28 to 506 of the family's 1533-position model. The record is from RNAcentral.
GAUGAACGCUGGCGGCGUGCCUAAUACAUGCAAGUCGAGCGAAAAGACGAGGAGCUUGCCCCUCUGACGUUAGCGGCGGACGGGUGAGUAACACGUGGAUAACCUACCUAUAAGACAGUGAUAACUUCGGGAAAUCGGAGCUAAUACCGGAUAAUAUAUUGAACCGCAUGGCUUAAUAGUGAAAGCCGUUUUUGCUGCCACUUUUAGAUGGAUGCGGUCGGGAUUAGCAGGUUGGUAAGGUAAGGGCUCACUAAGGCAACGGUGGGUAGCAGACCUGACAGGGUAAUCGGCACCACUGGAACUGAGACACGCUCAAGACUCCUACGGGGGGAGGAGGUGGGAAAUUUUGCGAAAUGGGGGAAGGCUUGACGAAGCAACGCGGCGUGAGGGAGGAGGGUCUUCGGUUCGUAAAUCUCUGUUAUUGGAGAAAAACGAAUGUGGUUAUAACUCUGCGCGUAUUGACGGAACCUAAUCAGAAGGCCAGGGCUAACUAGGU